GGCGAACGCUGGCGGCGUGCUUAACACAUGCAAGUCGAACGAUGAUGCUCCAGCUUGCUGGGGUGGAUUAGUGGCGAACGGGUGAGUAACACGUGAGUAACCUGCCCCCUUCUUCGGGAUAAGCUUGGGAAACUGGGUCUAAUACUGGAUAUUCUGCAAUUGUCGCAUGGUGGUUGUGGGAAAGAUUUUUUGGUGGGGGAUGGGCUCGCGGCCUAUCAGCUUGUUGGUGGGGUGAUGGCCUACCAAGGCGUCGACGGGUAGCCGGCCUGAGAGGGUGACCGGCCACACUGGGACUGAGAUACGGCCCAGACUCCUACGGGAGGCAGCAGUGGGGAAUAUUGCACAAUGGGCGCAAGCUUGAUGCAGCGACGCCGCGUGAGGGAUGACGGCUUUCGGGUUGUAAACCUCUUUCGAUGGGGAACAAGGCCAUAUUUUUGUGUGGUUGAGGGUACCUGUAUAAGAAGCGCCGGCUAACUACGU
RNAcentral lists this ribosomal RNA (480 nucleotides) under uncultured bacterium. RNAcentral's name for it is "partial 16S ribosomal RNA". It matches the Rfam family "Bacterial small subunit ribosomal RNA", at positions 28 to 506 of the family's 1533-position model. The record is from RNAcentral.